CAUGCAAGUUGAGCGCUGAAGGUUGGUACUUGUACCGACUGGAUGAGCAGCGAACGGGUGAGUAACGCGUGGGGAAUCUGCCUUUGAGCGGGGGACAACAUUUGGAAACGAAUGCUAAUACCGCAUAAAAACUUUAAACACAAGUUUUAAGUUUGAAAGAUGCAAUUGCAUCACUCAAAGAUGAUCCCGCGUUGUAUUAGCUAGUUGGUGAGGUAAAGGCUCACCAAGGCGAUGAUACAUAGCCGACCUGGGAGGGUGAUCGGCCACAUUGGGACUGAGACACGGCCCAAACUCCUACGGGAGGCAGCAGUAGGGAAUCUUCGGCAAUGGACGAAAGUCUGACCGAGCAACGCCGCGUGAGUGAAGAAGGUUUUCGGAUCGUAAAACUCUGUUGGUAGAGAAGAACGUUGGUGAGAGUGGAAAGCUCAUCAAGUGACGGUAACUACCCAGAAAGGGACGGCUAACUACGUGCCAGCAGCCGCGGUAAUACGUAGGUCCCGAGCGUUGUCCGGACUUAUUGGGCGUAAAGCGAGCGCAGGUGGUUUAUUAAGUCUGGUGUAAAAGGCAGUGGCUCAACCAUUGUAUGCAUUGGAAACUGGUAGACUUGAGUGCAGGAGAGGAGAGUGGAAUUCCAUGUGUAGCGGUGAAAUGCGUAGAUAUAUGGAGGAACACCGGUGGCGAAAGCGGCUCUCUGGCCUGUAACUGACACUGAGGCUCGAAAGCGUGGGGAGCAAACAGGAUUAGAUACCCUGGUAGU
This 757-nucleotide ribosomal RNA is filed under the name uncultured bacterium. RNAcentral describes it as "bacterial SSU rRNA". It matches the Rfam family "Bacterial small subunit ribosomal RNA", at positions 54 to 794 of the family's 1533-position model. The record is from RNAcentral.